RNAcentral lists this long non-coding RNA (225 nucleotides) under Elaeis guineensis (African oil palm). RNAcentral describes it as "long non-coding RNA (EGUI_LNC080628)". Lineage: Eukaryota; Viridiplantae; Streptophyta; Magnoliopsida; Arecales; Arecaceae. The record is from RNAcentral.
AUCCAGUUCUGAUUUGAGGUGACUAACAAUUCGAGCUAACCCAUGCCACUAGGUUAGUCAUAAUUGUUAUGACUAUGUCAAGUCAAGUUUAAUGAGACCUAAAUCAAAUCUCUUUAAGAAAAUAUUAAGUCUUAGGUCUUCCACCAUUGUGGAUGUGCAGGCCCUUCUGAAGGAAAAACUGACUUUUUCCUUGUAGGAUCUUUCAGAUCUAAUGAGAUCUGGGGC